RNAcentral lists this long non-coding RNA (1632 nucleotides) under Mytilus galloprovincialis (Mediterranean mussel). The record is from RNAcentral. Lineage: Eukaryota; Metazoa; Mollusca; Bivalvia; Mytilida; Mytilidae.
AUUAGAUAUGAAGUUCUUUGCUGUUGGAGUGAUAAGUCUUUGUCUGUAUGGUAGGUUAAAAUAUACAAUAUUUUCUCAAUCCUGAUUGCACAGUUCAUAUUUAAACUAUGUAUGAAGUGAUCAUUUUUUAAAACUCAUAAUGGGAAAUAAUUAAGAUUGCUUUUGAAUAUUUAACAUAACAAAACAAUUUAAAAUAUGUUAAUUGUGUUAUUUGCUUGUUUUUUCGCUAACACUAGACGGACAAAUGGCAAAGGUACUUUAUGAAGAACGAAACGUUUAGCUGUUGAUAUUGCUUUAAUAUCUUAAAGAUUUGUUACUGUGGCAUAAUUGAUAUUUUUUAUUGACUAAACUUGUAUUGUAGUGUCAAAAAAUUACAAAUCACAAAUUAAUUUGUAUUUUUUUAAUACGUUUGAAAAAGUGAAAUCACAAAAAUACUGAAAUCAGGAAAGUUAAAAACGAAAAUUUCCCAAUCGAAAGGCAAAAUAAAAUAAUAAAAGAUUUAAAACGAAUGGACAACAAUAGUUAUAUUCCUUACUUAAUACAGGCAUUUUACAAAUGUUGAAAAUGGUGGAUUGAACCUGGUUUUUUUUUGCGCUUAACCUCUCAUUUGCAUGACAGUCCCAUCAAAUUCAAUUAUUUUGACAAUGAUGCGGGAACAAAAUGUCACACAUAAAGGUGCAACAACAACACAUCAUGGGGUUGAUGUCAGGUGGUUCAAAAAGGUAAGCAGAUCCUGCUCCACAUUUAACACUUGUCGUGAACAUAAUCAACACGACAAGUGCUAGUUUAAACAUACAUAAAUAUGUUUAAACUAGCACUUGUCGUGUUGCUUAUGUUCUUACAAAGCCGGUAAAUAGUCUUAUGCGGUCGAUCACAUUCAUCAUGUUCAUGGAAAGGGAAUGGGAAUGUAUUUACGACAUAAAUAACAUCCGAUAUCAUAUUCAUAACGGAUAUUCCAUAAGGUCGAUUGAACAAUUGUUUGUCCUAAAUUAUGAACAUUGUUUACUACUACAUGUAUGUUACAUCGUUAUGGGUUUGCUUUAUUAUUUUAAGAAACAAAUUUAGUGUAUGCAUGUUUCCGUCCGUAUUAUCCACAAGUUUAUAACCAAGUAUGUACAAGUUAGCAUCGUGUCUUUUAUGUCUAUACAGUUGUUGUAAUUUGGUUGCUGCAUACGGAACGUACUUCAAAUAAUUGAUUACUUGCUUUAUGUAGUUGAAAUGUAUUUUUUGUUUAUCUAAAAACCCAAAAUAUAAAAUGUAUGAGACAUAGUGUCUUCUUUUGAAGUUAUCACGUCUAACCGAAGUCUAAUUUCAACUCUAAGUUAAACUAUAACCAUUCGGAAGAUACUAGCUGAGAGCUAUGUGAUUGACGUAUUUUUGUUGUACUUAUUACAGGCAUUGCACUUAGUUGUAUUCCAUGCAACCUGCAUACUGAUGACUGUACCAAACCUUGUCAAUAUGUUGGUGACGAACCCCACUGUCACUAUUAUAAUUCGUUUUCAAAUUGCUGUUUCUGCGAAAUUCCGAUUGAAUGCCAUCCUUCAAAUGUUACUAUAGCGUGUCCAGCACAAUGUACAUGCGAACCUCAUGGAGAACACCAUCACUGCAUAUGUCCUCAAUAAAGGUAAAUAU